Molecule: ribosomal RNA, 301 nt
Filed under: uncultured bacterium
Lineage: Bacteria
Description: partial 16S ribosomal RNA
Rfam family: Bacterial small subunit ribosomal RNA
Source: RNAcentral
CAGCAGCCGCGGUAAUACGUAGGUCCCGAGCGUUGUCCGGAUUUAUUGGGCGUAAAGCGAGCGCAGGCGGUUAGAUAAGUCUGAAGUUAAAGGCUGUGGCUUAACCAUAGUACGCUUUGGAAACUGUUUAACUUGAGUGCAAGAGGGGAGAGUGGAAUUCCAUGUGUAGCGGUGAAAUGCGUAGAUAUAUGGAGGAACACCGGUGGCGAAAGCGGCCCUCUGGCUUGUAACUGACGCUGAGGCUCGAAAGCGUGGGGAGCAAACAGGAUUAGAUACCCGGGUAGUCCCUGUCUCUUAUACA